CCGCAAGGGCUAAAACCCAAAGGAAUUGACGGGGGCUUACACAAGCGGUGGAGCAUGUGGUUUAAUUCGAAACAACGCGCAAAACCUUACCAAUCCUUGACAUAUGAAAAACCAGGGUGUUUACCCGCUCUGUCUCUUUUAUACAGGUGCUGCAUGGCUGUCGUCAGUUCGUGGUGUGAGCUGUUGGGUUAAGUCCCAGAACGAACGCAACCCUCCUUUGAAAUGAAGGUUUACCUUUUUCAAAGACUGCCAAGGAUAUCUUGGAGGAAGGUGAGGAUGACGUCAAGUCCGCAUGGCCCUUAUGGGUUGGGCUACACACGUGCUACAAUGGGAAUGACAAAAGGAGGCAACAUGGCAACAUUGAGCAAAUCCCAAAAAGUUUCCUUAGUUCGGAUUGUUCUCUGCAACUCGAGAACAUGAAGUUGGAAUCGCUAGUAAUCGUAGAUCAGCACGCUACGGUGAAUUUGUAUCUAAGCCUUGUACACACCGCCCGUCACACUCUGAAAAUUUUCAUGCCUUGAAGCAAAAGAAGUUCACCAAGAACACACAGCGCAAUUAAAAAAAAACAUCUUCCCUUUUUUUUCUGUGUCUUUGUUGGAACCUUUUCUAGAGUUAGGGAGGUGAUUGGAGUG
Molecule: ribosomal RNA, 632 nt
Filed under: uncultured picoeukaryote
Lineage: Eukaryota
Description: partial 16S ribosomal RNA
Rfam family: Bacterial small subunit ribosomal RNA
Source: RNAcentral